RNAcentral lists this ribosomal RNA (813 nucleotides) under Triticum aestivum (bread wheat). RNAcentral describes it as "partial small subunit ribosomal RNA". Lineage: Eukaryota; Viridiplantae; Streptophyta; Magnoliopsida; Poales; Poaceae. The record is from RNAcentral.
AUGAACGCCAUGAGAUGGAACUGUCGAGGGCUUGGGAACCCUGGGACAGCUCGGGAGCUUCGCAAGCUUGUGAAGCAAGAAGGCCCCAACCUGCUUUUCGUCAUGGAGACAAAGAUCAGGGGGAAACGUGUGGAAGACUUGAAGUUUACAUUAGGUUUUUCCGGCUGUUUUGCCGUCGACAGCGACGGUUUGAGCAGAGGGAUCGGUUUGUUUUGGUCAAAAGAUGUUGAAGUUACUCUGGAGAAUUUCAGCAAGUCUCAUAUUGAUAUCAAGGUGAGUCAGAAUAACAAGACUUGGCAUCUCACUGGCUUCUACGGAGAGCCACGAGUAGAGAAUCGCCACCACAGCUGGUGGUUUCUCCGCACCCUUUUUGCUAUCCCACAUAGGGCAUGGUUAUGCCUGGGUGACUUCAACGAAACCCUAUCUGCGGAUGAGCAUUUCAGCAUACAUGCAAGGCCGGAGGCGCAAAUGCGUGCCUUCCGCAAGGCAAUCUCCGAUUGUGCACUCCAAGACUUGGGGUGGCGAGGUGUCCCAUUCACAUGGGAUAAUAGGCAGCAACGGGAUAUGAACGUGAAAGCAAGGCUUGACAGGGCCUUCGCCAAUGCCGAAUUUCUGCAGCUGUUCGAGUUCUCAAAUGUCAAACAUAUCAGCAGUGUAGAAUCGGAUCACUGUUUUUUGCUUACCGACUGCCGUGCUACGGCAACGACGGGCUGGUCCCGGGCAGCCCACUCCUUUCGCUACAAAAAUGUUUGGCAAUCACAUGCUGACUAUGAUGAGAAGGUACGAGAGAUGUGGCAGGCGGGAGCAGGCUAG